This 478-nucleotide ribosomal RNA is filed under the name uncultured bacterium. RNAcentral's name for it is "partial 16S ribosomal RNA". It matches the Rfam family "Bacterial small subunit ribosomal RNA", at positions 28 to 507 of the family's 1533-position model. The record is from RNAcentral.
GAUGAACGCUCGCGGCAGGCCUAACACAUGCAAGUCGAGGGAGAAGCCCUUUCGGGGGCAGAAACCGGCGCACGGGUGCGUAACGCGUAUGCAACCUACCUUUCACAGGGGGAUAGCCCGAAGAAAUUUGGAUUAAUACCCCAUAAUAUUAUUGGAUGGCAUCAUUUGAUAAUUAAAACUGCGGUGGUGAAAGAUGGGCAUGCGUCCUAUUAGCUAGUUGGAGUGGUAACGGCACCCCAAGGCUACGAUAGGUAGGGGUCCUGAGAGGGAGAUCCCCCACACUGGUACUGAGACAGGGACCAGACUCCUACGGGAGGCAGCAGUGAGGAAUAUUGGGCAAUGGUCGGAAGACUGAACCAGCCAUGCCGCGUGCAGGAAGAAUGCCUUAUGGGUUGUAAACUGCUUUUAUAUGGGAAGAAUAAGGCGUACGUGUACGUUGAUGACGGUACCAGAUGAAUAAGCAUCGGCUAACUCCGUG